Vicia villosa (hairy vetch) is the source of this 1251-nucleotide long non-coding RNA. RefSeq lists it as uncharacterized. The record is from RefSeq and is a predicted model, not a curated record. The transcript has 3 exons. NCBI's taxonomy places the organism in Eukaryota, Viridiplantae, Streptophyta, Magnoliopsida, Fabales, Fabaceae.
UUGUUUGGAUUUCACUUAAAAUAUCCUUCUCUAAGGUUUUUUCAUCCUCAUUAGAGUUCUCCUCCAUUUAAUUUUCCGAUGUUGGUUAUCUCCAUCCCCGUGAAUCACCUGUCUUAUCGUCAUUUCGUUAUCUUCGGUCAGAACAUACAAAUCUAGAUAUUAAUCUUUCAAACACUAUGCCAAAUUUGUCUCUUAGCAGCACCCCUACGAAAGCGCUUUUAGGAAAAAUAGUUGGUAUAGGUUUCGCUAAAAACAAAAUAAAAAAACACGCAAAAAAAGAGCUCUUAUAGGGGGGGUUACGAAAGAGCUUUCAAAAGGCGCUCUUAUAGGGGGGUUACGAAAGAGCUUUCAAAAAGCGCUGGUAAAGGCAUGGGUACGAAAGUGCUUCUCAAAAGCGCUCUUAUAGGUGGGUUAUGAAAGCGCUUUUAAAAGCGCUGCUAUAGGGGGUGGGUUACAAGAGCGCUUUUACCCUAAAAAGCGCUAGUAUAGCCGUGGUUACAAAGGCGCUUUUCAAAAGCGCUUUCAUAGUUGUUUCAUAAUUAAAAUUUUUAAAAUCAAAAUUAUUCUAAUGCGUUUCAUAAUUCCUAAUCCUCUUUCUCUACCAUCGCUGCCCAGAAACUGCAAACUCAACCUCAAAACCUCAAAACUCCAUCGCCGAAGAAGACGGAGACGAAGAACUUAACCUCAAAACCUUACCUCAUCCUCAAAUCCGCAGCACUUAACCUCCAUAAAAAUACCCUCCACAACCCACGCCCAGAAGAUAAAGACGAAAAAGAAUUCGAGAAUAAUCGCUGGAGAAGAGAUCGCUAAAGAAGAGAAGACGAAAGAGGAAUAUCUUUGCUAGAUAGGGGUUACUUGUGAAGAGUGAAAGUUUGAUCGUUUUCAAGAAUCUUACAUUAUGUGGGUCUAGAAGUUGCUUACUACUAUACAGGUUCAAUGGCUAGCAAUCAAGAAAACUCACAAGAAAACUCACAAGAUAGAGAUGCUCCGAAUACAAAUCCUCCACCUGAUACAUCAUCAAAAGAAGUUGCAUGAGGCAUCACCAUUAUGAAGGGAAUCAUUCGACAUAGAGACCAAGGAAUAAUAUACCAUUUGGAAUGAAAUUCUGAUAACCAACCAAUUGGUCCUAAUUCUGCAAAGUUGACAAGCUAUAUUGGUACACUUGUUCGUUUGCAUAUUCCAGUCUAUGUAGCUAAAUGGAAUCUGAAAAGCAAAGAGUUGGACGAUAAAAAAAACAUGAUUUGGGACGAG